RNAcentral lists this ribosomal RNA (253 nucleotides) under uncultured bacterium. Its description in RNAcentral is "partial 16S ribosomal RNA". It matches the Rfam family "Bacterial small subunit ribosomal RNA", at positions 524 to 776 of the family's 1533-position model. The record is from RNAcentral.
UACAGAGGGUGCGAGCGUUAAUCGGAAUUACUGGGCGUAAAGCGUGCGUAGACGGUCAAGUAAGUCGGGUGUGAAAGCCCCGGGCUCAACCUGGGAAUUGCAUUCGAGACUGCGUGGCUAGGGUGCGGAAGAGGGAAGCGGAAUUUCCGGUGUAGCGGUGAAAUGCGUAGAUAUCUGGAGGAACACCGGUGGCGAAGGCGGCAUCCUGGACCGGUAUUGACGCUGAGGCGCGAAAGCCAGGGGAGCAAACGGG